RNAcentral lists this ribosomal RNA (234 nucleotides) under uncultured bacterium. Its description in RNAcentral is "partial 16S ribosomal RNA". It matches the Rfam family "Bacterial small subunit ribosomal RNA", at positions 100 to 334 of the family's 1533-position model. The record is from RNAcentral.
CGGGACGGGUGAGUAAUGUCUGGGAAACGUGCCUGAUGGAGGGGGAUAACUACUGGAAACGGUAGCUAAUACCGCAUAACGUCGCAAGACCAAAGUGGGGGACCUUCGGGCCUCUUGCCAUCGGAUGUGCCCAGAUGGGAUUAGCUAGUAGGUGGGGUAACGGCUCACCUAGGCGACGAUCCCUAGCUGGUCUGAGAGGAUGACCAGCCACACUGGAACUGAGACACGGUCCAG